Molecule: RNA transcript, 2016 nt
Organism: Prunus dulcis (almond)
Lineage: Eukaryota; Viridiplantae; Streptophyta; Magnoliopsida; Rosales; Rosaceae
Gene name: sterol 3-beta-glucosyltransferase UGT80B1
Exons: 15
Source: RefSeq, a predicted model, not a curated record
CAUUUUUGUAUUUAAUCCAAAAAGAAAUAAACAUAAAAUUGGCUCCGCCACUGCGGCGCACUUGAAGUCUCAGGCUUUACACCUCACAGUGGAGAAUUGCAAUGGAGGUUGAGUCUCAGAGGACGAAACCUGUUGCUGUUUUCAUGGCCUUCGGUACCAAAGGCGAUGUCUACCCAAUUGCUGCCAUUGCUGUGGCUUUUGCUUGUGACCAGAGACAAUACGACGUCGUUCUAAUCACGCAUUCAGCUCAUGAGAACUUAAGGUGUCACUUGGCUGAACAACAUGUUUCAUAUCGUCCAAUUUCGUCACCACCUGUUCUCUCUAUCCAUCAGAUACAUGAUCCUACCGGCUCUGUGGAGUUGCCAUUUUCACUGCAGAAAAGGAUGUUUUCUAGCGAACACAGACAAGAAUGUUAUUUGGUAGUUGAAUCCAUAUUUGGAUCUGGCCCAAGCAUGGAGGGUGAUUUUAUUGUGAUAAAUUUCUUUGCUUUGGAAGGCUGGAGUUUUGCGGAACUUUUUCGUGUCCGUUGCAUGGUUGCUGCACCUUAUGUCGUUCCAUACAGUGCACCUUCAUCAUUUGAGCGCCACUUUAAAAAGGAACUUCCACUUUUGUAUAAAUACCUUAAGGAAGCUGACAUCAGCAAGGUUUGUUGGAAAGAUGUGAUUCACUGGAUGUGGCCACUUUUCACUGAAUAUUGGGGAUCCUGGAGGUGUGACAAUUUGAAUAUGAGUCCUUGCCCUUUUACAGAUCCAGUAACAGGUCUACCCACUUGGCACGAUAGGCCUCCAUCUCCCCUUCUUUUGUAUGGAUUUAGCAAAGAAGUUGUUGAGUGCCCUGGUUAUUGGCCAUCAAAAGUUCGGGUUUGUGGCUUUUGGUUUCUCCCCAAUGAAUGGCAGUUUUCAUGUAAGCAGUGCUGUGAAAUUUCAAGGAUUGUUUCUUCAGGGCAUCUUUACACAAAAGAUGAACUGUGUUCAGCCCAUGUUCACUUAGAUUAUUUUCUGAAGACUCCGAUGCCUAUGCCACCUGUUUUCAUUGGCCUAAGCUCUAUUGGUAGCAUGGGAUUUUUAAAAAACCCUCAAGCUUUUCUUCGACUUCUCCAAACGGUCAUGGAGAUAACAGGUUACCGCUUUAUCCUCUUUACAGCGGGCUACAUGCCUUUAGAUACCGCAAUCCGAGCGAUUGUUGCUGAAUCAUCAUCAUAUGUGAUGCACAAACAGUUUAAUGACGAGUGCCUUUCUCUCUUCAAUGAUCGACUCUUCUGCUUUUCUGGUACCAUACCAUACAAGUGGCUGUUUACUCGAUGUGCGGCUGCAAUUCAUCAUGGGGGAAGUAGUGGCACUACUGCUGCAGCACUACUUGCAGGAAUCCCACAGAUGGCAGGUAGUAUGCCCAUUUCUGCUAGAUCAGUUUUAUUGGGCUGAAAGAAUGUUCUGGCUUGGAGUAGCACCAGAACCAUUGAAAAGAAGCCACUUACUUCCAGAAGAAAGUGAUGAAAAAAUAAUCCAAGGAGCAGCGAAUUUGCUAUCCAGGGUCAUACAUGAUGCAUUAUCUCCCAAAAUUAGAGAACACGCUGUAGAAAUUUCUAAGAGAAUAUCUCUUGAGGAUGGAGUCUCCAAUGCUGUUCAAUAUAUCAAGGAAGAGAUUGGUUGUUCAAGCUGAUUAUUUGGAAUCUGUUUCAUUGACAUUCAACAUGGUUUUCGGCAAUGCAGACAGUCCAGAUUCUGAAAAUGGCUGUUUGGAGGGCGGCAUGUGCACGAUUGGGACAGUCUGCUUUAGAGAAUUGUUCUUUUGUAAAAAGACUCUUCUAAUCUAAAUGGGAUGGAUUAGAUGCAAAAUAUUACUAGCAAUGUCUUGCUUUUGCAGAAAGAAAGCUUGUCCUAUUUAGUAAUCGAGCAUGAGACAAGAAAAAUCAAUUGAUUUAGAGAACCUUCUUUGUCAACUUAAAAGAGCCUGCGAGGUGAAAUGGUCAUUUCCAACAUACUUUUGACUCCUUAUGCCAAUAUGUCGUUUCAGUAA